CAGUGAAUUAGAAUAAUUGUAUUGACGUUUCAAAUGUCUAUGGAGAUUCUUAAUCAUCCAGGUCAUGGUUAUCCCAAAGGUGCUUUUCCAAAAGGCAACUGGACUUUUCAUUGAAAAUACUGAUACAGAUAAACCCUCAACCAGCUUCAACAACUUUCAGAGAACUAACAACAGAUCCUCAGAGUGCUGUCAAACAUGACUGCAAAUCCUUCCAUUGCCCACCAGUCAGUUAGAAAUGAAGAAGCUUCUUGGGUGAGAAGUGAAACAUCAAGAGAAAAAAUCAAGAAAGUCCACUUGCCUUUUGGAAAGUACCUUUGGGACAUUGACAUUUCAAGUGUAAAAUAUAAGCUCAGACUUUUACCAGUAAAUAUCGGUUUAUUCCUGAAACCAGAAGCCCUAAACAUAUCUUUGUUUAUAAGGAAACACAUAGGUGUCCUACAUGAAUUACGAAAACCCUCCACCAUAUCCUGGCCCGGGCCCAACUGCCCCUUACCCACCAUAUACUCAACAACCAUCAGGCCCUGGUCCGUAUCCUGCCUAUCAGCCGGGGCCUACAGGGCCAUAUCCAGCUGGUCAACCAGGCUACAAUGGUUACCCACCAUACGGAUGGCAGAAUGCUCCACCUCCAGGACCAGUCUAUGCAGAUGGACCUAAAAAUACAGUGUAUGUUGUGGAAGAACAGAGAAGAGAUACCUCUGGUGAAAGUACCUGCCUGACAGCAUGUUGGACUGCAUUGUGCUGCUGCUGCCUUUGGGACAUGCUGACCUGAGAUUCCUGAGAAGCAAAGAGCCUUUUCGAUACCUCUCUCUCGGAGUGCUAUGCAGUCUCUUCCUUCUCCCCCUCCUGCUUCUCUUGUCUUUUCUUUUCGGCAGCUUUUUAGUACUGUAAUAAAUGAGAUGCUUUGUCCGAGCAUAACAUGCCUGCCAGAGUUGGAUGCAUGAAGCUGAAUGCAUCCUUUUUGAUUUGAGUGGAGAAUCCCCCUCCCCUCUUCUUGAUUGUUCUUUAAAUAAUGUACUAUAUUUUGUUUAACAAGCUUUUACUAUAAAUUAUGUAUUCAUAAUUUACACAUACUUAGGAAUGGAGUAAAAUGCAAUAAUUUAAGGCAUUUUUGGUUUUCUUACUUGCUUAAUUUUCUGUUUUAAUAAACUUUGUCCAAUAAAAUAUGAUCCAGAAAUUGAUAAGGCACAAAUCAUUUUUUUUCCUCAAAAUGUUUAGAACACUAAAAAUGCCAGUUAUUUGCAGACUGGCUCUCAAAGAUAGGAUAAAAGAUGAUUGCAAUCUUUUUGUGUCAUCUAUAAUUAUCUAAGAGAAGAACCAGUGGGGUGAACUGGAUCUCCCUCUUUAUAAUGUAAGUCAAUCUUCAGCCAAAGAAGUUCACUGGGUGAUUUUUGGCCAGUUUAUCUCUCUCAUCUUAGCUUGUUUCACAAGUAUGCUUGCAAGGAAAAAUGGAAGAAUAUAACAUUAUUGGACUAAUUGCUGUCUAGGAGCUAGGAGCAAGGUCAUUGCUUUUAUUAGGAUAGUCAAAUUCAUGAAGAAUUACCUCCAGAAUCAAAACCAUAUGUCUUAAAGGCCAAGGCUUCCUGGAUUCAAUAAGAAAAGAUGAUUCAGGGCCAAUAGUUGCCCACAUAUUCA
This 1632-nucleotide long non-coding RNA is filed under the name Pseudonaja textilis. RNAcentral's name for it is "lncRNA (ENSPTXG00000003341.1)". Lineage: Eukaryota; Metazoa; Chordata; Lepidosauria; Squamata; Elapidae. The record is from RNAcentral.